CAAGGGGUUUUUCUUUAUUUUUACUAUUUUCUACAUUGUAGAAUAAUGGUAAAGACAUCAAAACUAUGAAAUAACACAUAUGGAAUCAUUUGUAGUAACCAAAAAAGUGUUAAGCCCUCCUCUGUCCCUUAGUCUUCUAUGCAUUACUGUGUGUACAUGUGAUUUUGGAGACCCUUCUGGCAAAGUAGUAUUUUAUAGAUUAGAACACAAUAUCCCAGAAUCCCCAGCUCUCAUUGUUAGUCCCUGCUGAGACUUUGCGGCAACUAGUGACAACCCAACAGAGUCGGGAUGUUUGAGACAUGAUAAGAUUGAAAAUGAUUCAAUUACAUUUUUUGCAACAAUGUCUCCAGAACAGGUACAAAAAAAUAUUACACACUGGGUAUAAUUCUCAUUUUUAGAUUGUGAUAUAAAAAAAAUCACCUUGUCAGCAAUGUCAAGGUAGGUAGCUAGCUAGUUGAUGAUAGCUACGGUGAAUUAUUCUAAAGUCAUGGUGAGUAGAGACAUCAUGUCAAUAGGUACCAGUCAUGGUGAGUAGAGACAUCAUGUCAAUAGGUACCAGUCAUGGUGAGUAGAGACAUCAUGUCAAUAGGUACCAGUCAUGGUGAGUAGAGACCUCAUGUCAAUAGGUACCAGUCAUGGUGAGUAGAGACAUCAUGUCAAUAGGUACCAGUCAUGGUGAGUAGAGACAUCAUGUCAAUAGGUACCAGUCAUGGUGAGUAGAGACCUCAUGUCAAUAGGUACCAGUCAUGGUGAGUAGAGACAUCAUGUCAAUAGGUACCAGUCAUGGUGAGUAGAGACAUCAUGUCAAUAGGUACCAGUCAUGGUGAGUAGAGACAUCAUGUCAAUAGGUACCAGUCAUGGUGAGUAGAGACAUCAUGUCAAUAGGUACCAGUCAUGGUGAGUAGAGACAUCAUGUCAAUAGGUACCAGUCAUGGUGAGUAGAGACAUCAUGUCAAUAGGUACCAGUCAUGGUGAGUAGAGACAUCAUGUCAAUAGGUACCAGUCAUGGUGAGUAGAGACAUCAUGUCAAUAGGUACCAGUCAUGGUGAGUAGAGACAUCAUGUCAAUAGGUACCAGUCAUGGUGAGUAGAGACAUCAUGUCAAUAGGUACCAGUCAUGGUGAGUAGAGACAUCAUGUCAAUAGGUACCAGUCAUGGUGAGUAGAGACAUCAUGUCAAUAGGUACCAGUCAUGGUGAGUAGAGACAUCAUGUCAAUAGGUACCAGUCAUGGUGAGUAGAGACAUCAUGUCAAUAGGUACCAGUCAUGGUGAGUAGAGACAUCAUGUCAAUAGGUACCAGUCAUGGUGAGUAGAGACAUCAUGUCAAUAGGUACCAGUCAUGGUGAGUAGAGACAUGUCAAUAGGUACCAGUCAUGGUGAGUAGAGACACCAUGUCAAUAGGUACCAGUCAUGGUGAGUAGAGACAUCAUGUCAAUAGGUACCAGUCAUGGUGAGUAGAGACAUCAUGUCAAUAGGUACCAGUCAUGGUGAGUAGAGACCUCAUGUCAAUAGGUACCAGUCAUGGUGAGUAGAGACCUCAUGUCAGGUUUAAAUGUAUUAUUGUCAUAAUGCAUAUUGUGUCAUAUCAUGCCAUACAUAAUCAUAUCAUCCUGUCAAUUCAUAUCUGACAUUAAGAUACUCUACAGAAACUUUAUUGAGGUUGUAUCUUACAGACUGAAUAGCUAGUGGUUAGUUUGGUGAUACAACUUCAGAGUUUCUGUAGAGUAUCACUAAACUAACCACUAGCCAUUCAGUCAUGGUGAGUGAUGUCUAAUGGCACAUUUAGAGUACAAUUACAUGGAUGCAUGUAGGGGGGGGGACUUUUAUUUUGAAAAAAACUUGUCCUCAAUGGGAGCAGCAGGUAAAACCAGCAGCAGGCUCGACUAUAUCUCAAUUCAUCAUUCCCCGAUUCCU
Molecule: long non-coding RNA, 1913 nt
Organism: Oncorhynchus keta (chum salmon)
Lineage: Eukaryota; Metazoa; Chordata; Actinopteri; Salmoniformes; Salmonidae
Exons: 3
Source: RefSeq, a predicted model, not a curated record